AGUGAACGCUGGCGGUAGGCCUAACACAUGCAAGUCGAACGGCAGCACAGUAAGAGCUUGCUCUUACGGGUGGCGAGUGGCGGACGGGUGAGGAAUACAUCGGAAUCUACUUUUUCGUGGGGGAUAACGUAGGGAAACUUACGCUAAUACCGCAUACGACCUACGGGUGAAAGCAGGGGAUCUUCGGACCUUGCGCGAUUGAAUGAGCCGAUGUCGGAUUAGCUAGUUGGCGGGGUAAAGGCCCACCAAGGCGACGAUCCGUAGCUGGUCUGAGAGGAUGAUCAGCCACACUGGAAGUGAGACACGGUCCAGACUCCUACGGGAGGCAGCAGUGGGGAAUAUUGGACAAUGGGCGCAAGCCUGAUCCAGCCAUACCGCGUGGGUGAAGAAGGCCUUCGGGUUGUAAAGCCCUUUUGUUGGGAAAGAAAGGCAGCAGGUUAAUACCCCGCUGUUCUGACGGUACCCAAAGAAUAAGCACCGGCUAACUUCGUG
RNAcentral lists this ribosomal RNA (492 nucleotides) under uncultured bacterium. Its description in RNAcentral is "partial 16S ribosomal RNA". It matches the Rfam family "Bacterial small subunit ribosomal RNA", at positions 29 to 507 of the family's 1533-position model. The record is from RNAcentral.